Paenibacillus larvae subsp. larvae DSM 25430 is the source of this 81-nucleotide regulatory RNA element. It matches the Rfam family "ZMP/ZTP riboswitch aptamer (pfl RNA motif)". From Rfam's summary of the family: Previously known as pfl RNA. The record is from Rfam. Lineage: Bacteria; Bacillati; Bacillota; Bacilli; Caryophanales; Paenibacillaceae.
GAGCCCCGGUGUAACUGGCGACAGGUGGAGCGAACCACAUGGAAGCACCGGGGAAUACGGCCGGUCGCCUGGGCAAAGAGC